UAAUGAUACGCUUGUCUCAAAGAUUAAGCCAUGCAUGUCUAAGUAUAAGAAGAAUACUUCGAAACUGCGAACGGCUCAUUAACCAGUUAUAGUUUAUUUGAUAUUUCCUCUCUACUGGGAUAACCGUAGUAAUUCUAGAGCUAAUACCUGCGCAACGUCCCGACCGCAAGGAAGGGAUGCGUUUAUUAGAUCGAAACCAAUACGGGGGAACCCGUUCCAGGUGAUUCACAAUAAGCAAGCAAAUCGCACGGGCCUCCGCGCCGGGCGAUGAGUCAUU
This 277-nucleotide ribosomal RNA is filed under the name uncultured eukaryote. RNAcentral describes it as "partial 18S ribosomal RNA". It matches the Rfam family "Eukaryotic small subunit ribosomal RNA", at positions 21 to 299 of the family's 1831-position model. The record is from RNAcentral.